AAAAACAAAAUCGGGGUAACAAACUAAAACUGAGGGAAACGCAUUAAAUAUAAGAAGAGAACAACGACACAACAUUAAAAUGUGACACACACAGAAACGGACUAAGCAUUAUACAAAAUCCGAUGAGAAUAACAAAUAUAACAUCAAAACUAAAUACAUGAAUUUGGGAUAGAAAAGUACCGUGACACGUCUUAUAGUAAUGUGAAUUCACACUCAUAUAUAAGACAAA
Molecule: long non-coding RNA, 229 nt
Filed under: Mytilus galloprovincialis (Mediterranean mussel)
Lineage: Eukaryota; Metazoa; Mollusca; Bivalvia; Mytilida; Mytilidae
Source: RNAcentral